Microtus ochrogaster (prairie vole) is the source of this 693-nucleotide long non-coding RNA. RefSeq lists it as uncharacterized. NCBI's taxonomy places the organism in Eukaryota, Metazoa, Chordata, Mammalia, Rodentia, Cricetidae. The record is from RefSeq and is a predicted model, not a curated record.
GGUGUGCUGGGCCAAUGGGUAACCUUCCCAGUUCGUGGAUGGCAUCUCAGAUGCAGCCUGGAUGUUUCAGACUGGUGACAGAGGAGGUGGAGGAGACAGGAGUCCCCUCAUUGUCACCACAGUGCGGUUGCCUAAGGCCUGCGUAUGAAGGUCCCUACGGUUACAGAUGUGAAACCGAGAUGAUGAAGGGGAAGAGAUGAGAACUCGAAGGCCCUGGUAGACCUCCUCCAAGUCUGGGCUCCUUGCUCAGACCCAGCCUCCAACGGUGGACCCCCAUCAGCCCUUGGAGAGACUGUUCCCUGGAGCUGAGUGCAGACUGUAUGUCUCUCAGCUACUGAGUUCCUGGACUUCCUCAUCUCCGCUCCAGGGCAUGACUAGCUAUGCCCACAGGUGGCGAAUCACUCUGAUGUCAUAGAGCUGGCUAUCCUGGCACCAUAGUGUGUCCCUCAGACGUCAUUUAGUAGUUUCAUUCUCCUGCUUUAAACACACCUGGGUGCCUCAGGGGCACAGAAAGGGGGAAACUGACAUUCUAGUGGCAUCUCAGCCUCCCAAGCGGGGAGGACUUCCGGCAAAACUCCCUAGAAGGAUAGGAAGAUCCUCUAAGGAGACUUCCUUUGUGCCCUAAACCCGAAUCUCGCUCUUUCUGAGCAUAUCUACUUUGUGCGUACGUGCGUGCGUGCGUGCGUGUGUGUG